Molecule: long non-coding RNA, 426 nt
Filed under: Setaria viridis
Lineage: Eukaryota; Viridiplantae; Streptophyta; Magnoliopsida; Poales; Poaceae
Description: long non-coding RNA (SVIR_LNC003323)
Source: RNAcentral
GGAUUGUCAUUAACAACCUCGGGGGCUGGCGGCGCCGAAUCUUCAAGCAAGCUGAUUACAUCCCGCAGUAUGGCGGCUGCGAGAGCCAAUGCACCUAUGUCCCCAGUUUGCACCGGGUCUUUACUUGUCAAAUCGACAAAGGGUGCUGCAGCAUAGUCCGUGCCCGACGGAUUUUCAACCUGCUCCGCGCUCAUGCCUUCAAGAACAAUAUCCUCGGAAGUCCUGAUAUCAAACACAAUUCAAGAUUAAGAAAGCGACUACUGAUCGUGAAGUCUGUAAUCAAGCCAUUACAACAGCGUACUUAUUUGGAGGACCGGGGAACACUCGGAGCUGGCUCACUAGCCGGUAUGGGUGGCAACUCCUCGGUGUUUUUGCCAAGACCUGAAAGAACCAACUCAAAGACAAUGUAUGCACAACUACUACCAG